This 1035-nucleotide long non-coding RNA is filed under the name Sus scrofa (pig). Its description in RNAcentral is "lncRNA (ENSSSCG00055004401.1)". The record is from RNAcentral. Lineage: Eukaryota; Metazoa; Chordata; Mammalia; Artiodactyla; Suidae.
AAAAGAGGAAGAAACUAAGGCCGAGGGUGAAUUUCUGCUAUUGGCUUCUCUCUUGGGAGCUGCGGUGUUCUCAACGUCAGUUUCCUGGGUCAUGAAGGACCCCUGGUUUGCCCAUGCUUUGUUUCAAAUUCUUUCGCCCAUAAGCAGUAGACACCUUUCUUCAUCCUUUUAGCUGUUCCUCACUAGGCUACCACUGGCCAGACAUCUUAAACUUUCUCACUGAGGCUGGGGCUCCGGAGUCUCCGGGGUUCUUGUCGUUACCCUGGCUGCAACACAGGUGUCCCUCAGAGAGCUGGGGCACCAGAGCUGAUGAGAAAUCAAAAAACUUUCGCUCGCCCUAAGCAUCUGCGGUCAGUCUAAACCAGAGAUAGGAGUCUUUGCAGCAACACACGCACGUUUUGUCCUGGGCUCUGCCCCCAUCCCGCUGCACACACCCUGGGAGCCACCUUUCGGCAGAACAUCCCUCCCCCCGCACCCGUUACUAUCCUCAAGUCCGGCAAUCGGGGCGGGAGGGCUCCCGGUGCGCCUCUGGCUCGCGCGGCCUCCGCCCGAGCUGCGUGGCCGCGUGCGCACCGGGCGCUCGAGUCUCCGAGCAUGGCAGAUUUCCACCGGAUGACAUCAUGGGAGCGAGUGAGUGCCGGCUCUACCCGGGGCGGGGGUUGGGGGGGGGUGGGGGCGAAGGGGAGGGGAAAGGAGGGGAGAGGCUGCGAAGCAGAGCCAGAGCUGCUGCCUGGGGCCGGCUGUCUGUCCGCCAGCCGGGGAGGAGCGCUCCGGCCGCCGCUGACAAAGGAUGGGAGGAUGCCUGCACCCCGGGAUUCGGGCUGCGCGAAGCCCGGCGGUCGCCUGAGCGGCUUCGUUUCCCUCCGCUGCUGGACAGACGUCCUGAACCACAGCAUCUCUGGCCAUGGGACAUUUACACCUCCUCUUUGCUCUGCUUCUUGGUUCGCUCUACAUGAACGGACUUAUAUCUGGGAUUUGUAUAUUCAGCAAGUAUUUACUGAGUGUGAUAAAGAAGGAGUGGAGCUGCAGGGAUAG